UUUUAUUUUAUUUUUAACCAUUUUCUUUCAUCAUCAUUUUAUUUUUUUCACCACUUAUAUUUAUUUUAAUCAAAAUAUUUUGGAAACACACUUGACUUAUUUUUUGCCCAUUUAUUUUAUUUCACACUUUGUUUAUUUUAUUUUGACCUAUUUUGUUGACUUUUCAUGCCUUUAUUGAUGUCGGCUGAUGAAGUCUAUUUUGUCAUGACUUUGAUUUUCUAGAGCUGAUAAAACCUUCA
Molecule: long non-coding RNA, 239 nt
Filed under: Lathyrus oleraceus (garden pea)
Lineage: Eukaryota; Viridiplantae; Streptophyta; Magnoliopsida; Fabales; Fabaceae
Description: Pisum sativum (pea) long non-coding RNA (PSAT_LNC030957)
Source: RNAcentral